RNAcentral lists this ribosomal RNA (310 nucleotides) under uncultured eukaryote. Its description in RNAcentral is "partial 18S ribosomal RNA". It matches the Rfam family "Eukaryotic small subunit ribosomal RNA", at positions 1470 to 1796 of the family's 1831-position model. The record is from RNAcentral.
CCCUUAGAUGUUCUGGGCGGCCCGCGCACUACAAUGGCGCUUUCAGCGAGUUCCUAUGUUGAAUUUUCCUUGGUAUUCUUGGAAGUGGCGUCUUGACUUGGGAUAGAUCCUUGUAAUUGUUGGUUUUGAACGAGGAAUUCCUUGUAAUCGCGGUUGAUCAGCUCGCGUUGAAUACGUCCCUGCCCUUUGUACACACCGCCCGUCGCUCCUACCGAUGAAUCGUCCGGUGAAGUUCACAGAGUGGCGGUUCGUGGAGUUGCUCGCGAAGUGAAAUGGACCUCACGAUUUAGAGGAAGGAGAAGUCGUAACA